Molecule: ribosomal RNA, 253 nt
Filed under: uncultured bacterium
Lineage: Bacteria
Description: partial 16S ribosomal RNA
Rfam family: Bacterial small subunit ribosomal RNA
Source: RNAcentral
UACGAAGGGGGCUAGCGUUGUUCGGAAUUACUGGGCGUAAAGCGCGCGCAGGCGGUUCGAUAAGUUGGGGGGGAAAUCCCUGGGCUCAACCCAGGAAUGGACUUCAAGACUGUCGAGCUAGAGGACGAGAGAGGUGAGUGGAAUUCCCAGUGUAGAGGUGAAAUUCGUAGAUAUGCGGAGGAACACCGAUGGCGAAGGCAAUCCCCUGGACCUGUACUGACGCUCAUGCACGAAAGCGUGGGGAGCAAACAGG